UUGACUUAUUUAUUUAUUGCUCAGAUAUCACUAAAAUAUAGAGUUUAAAACCUCCGGCAGGCACCUGAAAACAGGCUACAGACCCACCCUGGGCCUGCCUACCGAAGCAACUUAGGUAUGUUCACAAAGGGUUGGGAGUUUUGCAACUCUGUAAUGAUCCCUCCGCUGGUUCACCAACGGAGA
RNAcentral lists this unclassified non-coding RNA (183 nucleotides) under uncultured fungus. RNAcentral's name for it is "sequence contains ITS1". The record is from RNAcentral. Lineage: Eukaryota; Fungi.